CGGUAGUUCAGUAUGCUCGGAAUGCANUGGGUUACACGCGCAAUACAAAGGACGGGACAAUGGNCCGCUGCUCCGAGAGGAAAGAUGGCUAUCCCGAAACCCGUUCGUAGUUCGGAUUGAGGGCUGUAACUCGCCCUCAUGAAGCUGGAUUAGGUAGUAAUCCGCGUCUCAAAAAGGCGCGGUGAAUAUGCNCCCUGCUCCUUGCACACACCGCCCGUCAAACCAUCUUAGUUGGGGGUGGGUGAGGCUGCCUUUUAGUGGGGUAUUCGAGCCUGCCUUCGACAAGGAGGGUUAAGUCGUAACAAGGUAACC
This 312-nucleotide ribosomal RNA is filed under the name uncultured archaeon. RNAcentral describes it as "bacterial SSU rRNA". It matches the Rfam family "Archaeal small subunit ribosomal RNA", at positions 1139 to 1448 of the family's 1478-position model. The record is from RNAcentral.